RNAcentral lists this transfer RNA (93 nucleotides) under Candidatus Saccharimonadota bacterium. RNAcentral describes it as "tRNA-Ser". It matches the Rfam family "tRNA". Rfam says of the family: Transfer RNA (tRNA) molecules are approximately 80 nucleotides in length. Their secondary structure includes four short double-helical elements and three loops (D, anti-codon, and T loops). The record is from RNAcentral. Lineage: Bacteria; Candidatus Saccharimonadota.
GGAGGAGUACCCAAGCGGUUGAAGGGGCGGCUUUGCUAAAGCUGUAGUAUGGGGCGACCUGUAGCGGGGGUUCGAAUCCCCCCUCCUCCGCCA